GCCAAUCAAAACUUACCUGUCGUGACAUCAUGAUCCACUCCCUCCACGGAUACGGUGGCGUUGGCGAUGGGGUUGUCAUCGCGGUCUUUCACCACGCCCCUAAUCCCACGAUGCACCUGCCGAGUUAAUACCAUUCCUACAGUCAAGAUUGGGCCAGCUCACUCUCAGGGGGAAACUUGUCACAGCCCAGGAAGAUGGACAGCUCAAGGCAGUUGGUAUGCAGGUAGCUGAAGUCGUUCAUGCCUAACAGAGACGGGAGAAGAGGCGCUGCAAACAACAUAUUUAAAAUGUGCAUUUCCAGAAGACCGAUUAAGUGGCGUGAUAUGCAUCGAACAGUGGGGUACCUGCAUAUUGAGACGCCCUCUUUGGGGGCCAAACCCGUAGUGCAACAUGGAGGAAGCCAUGAGCUGGUCUCCCUCGACACGGUGCGACUCCAGUCCAAUAGGGGGACAGUCUGAGAGGGAGGAAAUAUCUGUUAGUUCCACUUUGAUUGUAGGCUUCAAAUCAAUAAGAUACUUCAAGAAUGUGUGGGGUUUUAGUGAACUGGACCAGAAAC
Long non-coding RNA from Conger conger (European conger), 556 nucleotides. RefSeq lists it as uncharacterized. The transcript has 3 exons. The record is from RefSeq and is a predicted model, not a curated record. Lineage: Eukaryota; Metazoa; Chordata; Actinopteri; Anguilliformes; Congridae.